RNAcentral lists this ribosomal RNA (232 nucleotides) under uncultured bacterium. RNAcentral describes it as "partial 16S ribosomal RNA". It matches the Rfam family "Bacterial small subunit ribosomal RNA", at positions 96 to 334 of the family's 1533-position model. The record is from RNAcentral.
CGGCGAACGGGUGAGUAACGCGUGGAUUAUCUGCCCUGAGGUGGGGGAUAACCCGGGGAAACUCGGGCUAAUACCGCAUAAUAUCGAGAGGUCAAAGGGGGCCGCAAGGCUCUCGCCAUGGGAGGAGUCCGCGUUCGAUUAGCUAGUUGGUAGGGUAAUGGCCUACCAAGGCGACGAUCGAUAGCCGGCCUGAGAGGGUGAUCGGCCACACUGGAACUGAGACACGGUCCAG